Molecule: non-coding RNA, 4545 nt
Organism: Misgurnus anguillicaudatus (oriental weatherfish)
Lineage: Eukaryota; Metazoa; Chordata; Actinopteri; Cypriniformes; Cobitidae
Source: RefSeq, a predicted model, not a curated record
UUAUAGUGUAGUGUGUAUCUGUGUGUUAACAGUGUUUGUGUGUCUCAGUGUUGACAGACAGCUCUUACUGAAGCUGCUUCAUUGCUGCAGUUCAUCUGAUGACCAACAGGAGGCAGCAAAUCUUCUGCUCUCUGCUCUUCAGUACAGACUGGAUUUCUCCUCCUGCUUUUCUCUGGACCUCACGGUCACAGAGGAAAUUGAAAAUAAUUUUACUCUCACCAUUGAUGACUGUAGAAUAAUCUCAUCUGUGCUCCAAAAACCAAAAAGUGUUAUAAAGUUGGUUUUAGAGGACUGUGAGGUCUCUGAUUCGGCAUUGAAACAAAUUAUUCCAGUUCUGUCUCAGGUUCAGCUCAGCUGUGGUAAAGCUCUUCUGCUGCAGUUUAUAGCUUGUAUUACUGAAGAUACAGAGAAAGGAUCUUUGAGGUGGGUUCAGGCUCUUUGUCAAGCUUUAGGAGGUGAGGUGGACCUCAGUCACACUCAGAUGGAUCAGAGAUGUUGUGAACAGCUGUCAGUGUUUCUGGAAUAUUCUGAUGGAUUGACAGAACUGGAUCUCAGUCACUGCAGACUCACUGAUCAAUACAUGAAUCCACUCUUACCACACCUGCACAAGACUCAAACUCUAGAUCUGAGUCACAACAAUAUUACUGAUGAACUAGCAAAGAAAAUACACAGCAUUGUUUCCACUCACGACAAUAUUCAGACAGUACGACUCUUUGGAAACAAAAUUAGAGACAAAAAGCAGUUUACCAGAAACAAGCGAUUUGAAAUCUGGUAAAGACACCGGAGUGUAACUCGACUUGCCAUCAAGAGAAUGGAAAUGAACAAUUAAAGGAACAGUAUGUAAGAAAUGUUUAGCAAUUAAUCAUAAAAUGGUCCUGAUAUGUCACUAGACAUUAAGAAAUCAUUUUCAUUUCAAAUACUUAUAACACUGACAACAGUGGUCCGGCCAGGAUAUUGUCAUUUAAAAAGUGGAGUUGCAGCCCUCAACUGAUGUUUAUGUUGUCAUUUUGCCACCAGUUGUGUGAUUGCAGUACCAGUUUUAGCCACAAGUUUUGUGAUUGCAGUACCAGUUUUGGCCACAAUCCUACAUACUGUUCCUUUAAACUUUUACCUCUGCACGAAACCUGAGUGAUGUAUCAACUGAAUAUUAAAGCUGCAAUCUGCAACUUUGUUUUGGUUCAAAUUAAACGGUGUUAUUAAGGAAGUACAAGAGGUGGUGAUGGCGCAGUGGAGAAGACAAACGCCUUCGGUGUGAAAGACUCGGGUUCGAAUCCACUGUGACACACCAUUGUGUCCCUGAGCAAGACACUUAACCCCUAGUUGCUCCAGAGGCGUGCGACCUCUGACAUAUAUAGCAAUUGUACGUCGCUUUGGAUAAAAGCGUCAGCUAAAUGAAUAAGUAAGAUAAGUAAGUAAGAAAUGAUAAAAGGUCUCUUUAUCUUAAUCCAAUUUAUAAUGUAAAUAUUUUAAUUAUUUAUUAAAUAGUUUGCGUCCUUUGCCUUCAGCCCAUUAAAAGAUGUGUAAAGUAACCUGAUAUUUUAUGUUUCAAACAUAGAUGGGGAUUGAAAGACAGAUUUUAUAUUUUAAAUGACAGAACUUCUAAAUUUGUACAAAGCCAAAUAAUAUUUCUUUAAGUAUGAAGUCAAUGUAUGUAAUAAUAGCUUUGAAAUAAAAUGAACUUUCACAUAAAUCCAUGUGGUUUUGUUCUGACAUUUUGAAAAUGAGGAAAUUAUGAUCAUACUAAUGCAAUUUUAAGAUCUUUAGAUUUAUGUAACUGGUAUGUUUCUCUUUUGUCCAUUCUUCUCAAUAAAGAUCCUGGGAAAAAAGGAAAUGAGAAAUAAUAAAUAACAAGGACAAUAAAAUGUAAAUAAAUAUAAAAUCACCCUAAACCAGGAAAAAUAAUAUGAUACCAUAAAGUCAAUACACCGAAUAAGAAAAACAGUGUAAGAUUAAACAGUAACAAUAAAAAUCAUAGUAUGAUAUGUUGUGUAUAAUAUUGUGCAGACUUGUAAUAAAGAGCCAAUGUUGUAUUUAAACUAACAAUGCUUAUCAAACCAAUACAGUAUGUGAUGUGUGUAUGAUAGUACAGUUGCUAAAGUUGCAGUUGAGUAGAGAGCAUGAUGAGCUAAGUGGAAGUGAUGGUGUGUGAUGGCUAUUUAUCAAUCCAAAACUUCAUGAGGGUGAAAAAUGUGUGUGUGUGAGGAGAACAUUCCUUGUGUAACACGUUUAUGGAGAUUAAGGAUAGCUGUUCAAUGUUAGGCCCAAAAAAAUGACGGAGAACUCACAAACGCAUCACUCAAAACGAUGUACAUGUGGUGUUAAAAACUAAAGCAUUUCCCCUUUCGCGCAUGUGCACAUUCACCUAGUAUACACAACAACAAAGCAAAGGCACAUUGCUCUUAAAGGGGCCACACCGUUCUUAAAGGGGUAGCACCACUCCACUCGUUACACUUGGUUGACCAGUUGCACUGUGAGAAAAUAACCACCCAUUGGCCCAAUAGAAGAGUCAAAUCAGUGCGGCGAAAGCUCUCAGCGCAUUCCGUCUUAUUCGUAGCUUAUUGAUGAAUGACUUUCCUUGUGCAUCACGUUGAUGGUCGAGCGCGGAUUCACCGAUUACUAACAGAGGCAAUGACACUUGAAUGAAUUGUUGGGUGGACACACAAUAUUUUCUUGGGACACUUUAGCCUGCGUUAUCACAAUUGCACUCUUACCGCUGUCGGGUAUCUGAACAUCAUUGUGGACCAAGUGAACCCAUUCAUAGCAACUGUGUCCUCUGCCUGUGAUGGCCAUAACCAACAGAAUAAUACGCCAUGCCACACUGCAAGAAUCAUCAAGGAGUGGUUCAAGGAUCAUGAUGGUAAUUUUCUGUUUAUCCCUUGGCCUCCAAAUUUACCUGACAUGAACCAAAUUGAAUAUUAGUGGUUCAACUUGGAAAAACGGGUUUGUGCUACAUCACCACCACCCUGCAAUAUACUGUAUACAAUUGAUAUUAUGGUACCAGAUAUCCCAGGAAAUAUCGCUACCUUGUCAAAUCAAUGCCUCGCUUCAUAGCUACUGUUUUGCAGGCCCAUGUUAUAUUAGGCAGGUGGUCAUAACGUAAUGGCUUAUCGGCAUAUAUUGGUUUGGAAAGUAUAUUGAUAUAUCAUAAAACUCAGUAUUGCUGAACCCUAAAAGAGAAUGACUCCGUGUCACAUUUAGUGUAAUUAAAGUAAAAAAUUGGCAAAAAUGCUUUUCUUAUGCAAAAUUUUCCCUUAUUUGACAGGUGGCUUGAACCCAAAGAUUGCGAUGUGGGGAGAUUUUAAACAAGCACUAUCGAGAGCAGAUGAGGGGCUACAGAAAUAGACAUAGGUGUCAUUUACACUUUUUGAAAUGGGUGAUUUUGUCCCCACCACUUUUUGAAAGCAUUUGGUUAAAAUAUUCUAAAAAAAGCGAACCAAGAAAUGUUAAACGUUUAUUUGCACAAAAUAAAACAUGCAAUGCAGUUUAGAUACAGAAAGAAACAAUGUACAUUAUCCAAAAAAAUUAACUUAAACAAAAUAAACUAUUACGCCAAAUAUGGGGCUAUGAACUCUAACUUAAGUGUGUGUUUAACUUUUUUAUUGUUUAAUGUUUUUAAUGCACUUGAUUUUUAAUAAUAGAGAAUACAUUUUAUGCAGAGAGUGUGGAAAUGACUGUUCUUGCUCUGACAAUGUACAAGAAUUGAGGCACCCGUGUCCGAAUUCACUCACUUGUUUUCAUUCAUUCAGUCAAGUGGACUAUAUUAGCAAUACUGAUGGAGGGAGUAGUAAAUGUGUUUGGAGCUAUUUCAUACACAACCUAACCGAAGGGCUUCUUCUCUGACAGAGAAAACGUUACAAAUGCUUUAUUGGCUUUAUACUUUUUGGAUUUAGUUUUAAGGAUCAUUCAUCAGACAACAGAACUGUAGGAAAACUAACGUACAUUGUGAUAUGCGGUGCUGCGCAACAAGACACAAAACGAAAGUAAAAGUUAAAAGUAUAAUGUAAAUAAUGCGACAAGUUUCACUUUCACUUUUAAACGUGUUUGGUUGUCAUAUCGUUUGGAUAUUAGAACAGUGUAUAUUUUACGUUGUAUUUUUACCUUGUAUUUCCAUUGCAAGUAUAUUUAUCCAAGUCCAACACUUGAAGCGUGCGUCGAGAACAGACUUUAGGAUUUAGGUUAAGUGUGUUAACUGUUAGUGUGGAUAUGGACACACAAGACUCAGAAGAGGACUCGGGGAAGAUGGAACGUGAACACACACUUUCAGCCACACCGCUGACAGAGGAUCAUUACAGAUGUUCAGUGUGUACAGACGUCUUCAAGAAUCCAGUUUCUAUUCCCUGUGGACACAGUUACUGCAAACACUGCAUUGAGAUCUACUGGAGCAAACCAACUCAAGCUGAAUGUUACGCUUGUCCUCAGUGCAGAAAGAGGUUCAGAGAUCGGCCUGUGUUAAAUGUGAACAUUGCUUUAGCUAAACUGAUAGAAGAGCGGCAGCGGGCUGGGUUUAGUCCUCCUCUUCCUGAUCACUGCUAUGCUAGACCUAAA